This 1815-nucleotide ribosomal RNA is filed under the name Triticum aestivum (bread wheat). RNAcentral's name for it is "partial small subunit ribosomal RNA". The record is from RNAcentral. Lineage: Eukaryota; Viridiplantae; Streptophyta; Magnoliopsida; Poales; Poaceae.
AUGGAAAAUGGUAUCGGAUCGGUGGACGGGCACAAGGCGGUGUCAAACGGCGUGGUGGCGUGCCCCGCCGCAUUCCGCACAUCGUCGUCGCCAGCGGCCAUGAUCACCUCCGCCGAGGCCACGCUGGGCCGCCACCUUGCACGGCGCCUGGUGGAGGUGGGCGUGAGCGACGUGUUCGCCGUGCCAGGGGACUUCAACCUGGCCCUCCUCGACCACCUCAUCGCCGAACCAGGCCUGCGCCUCAUGGGCUGCUGCAACGAGCUCAACGCCGGCUACGCCGCCGACGGGUACGCACGCGCCAAGGGCGUGGGCGCCUGCGCCGUCACCUUCACCGUCGGCGGCCUGAGCGUGCUCAACGCCAUCGCUGGCGCCUACAGCGAGAACCUCCCCGUGAUCUGCAUCGUCGGCGGGCCCAACUCCAACGACCACGGCACCAACCGCAUCCUCCACCACACCAUCGGUCUCCCCGACUUCUCCCAGGAGCUCCGCUGCUUCCAGCCCGUCACCUGUCACCAGGUCGUCAUCAACAACCUCGACGACGCCCACGAGCAGGUCGACAAGGCCAUCGCCACGGCUCUCAGAGAGAGCAAGCCCGUCUACAUCAGCGUCGCCUGCAACCUCCCCGGCGUCUCCCACCCCACCUUCUUCCGCGACCCCAUCCCCUACUGCCUCGCCCCGCGGCAGAGCAACCAGAUGGGACUCGAGGCGGCGCUCGACGCGACGGUGGAGUUUCUAAACAAGGCGGUGAAGCCGGUGAUGGUGGCGGGGCCGAAGCUCCGGGUGGCCAAGGCAGCCGCGGCGUUCGCGGAGCGGGCGGACGCAAGCGGCUACGUUGUGGCGACGAUGCCGUCGGCGAAGGGGCUGGUGCCGGAGACGCUGCCGCGGUUCAUCGGCACCUACUGGGGCGCGGUGAGCACGUCCUUCUGCGCGGAGAUCGUGGAGUCGGCGGACGCCUACCUCUUCGCCGGCCCCAUCUUCAACGACUACAGCUCAGUGGGGUACUCGUUCCUGCUCAAGAAGGAGAAGAUGGUGAACGUGCAGCCCGACCGAGUCACCGUCGGCAACGGCCCGACGUUCGGGUGCGUCAUGAUGAAGGACUUCCUGUCGGAGCUGGCCAAGCGCUUGAGCAAGAAGAGGAACACCACGGCGCACGACAACUACCGGAGGAUCUUCGUGCCGCAGGGGCAGCCGCUGGAGAGCGAGCGCGGCGAGCCGCUGCGAGUCAACGUGCUGUUCAAGCACAUCCAGAAGAUGCUCACCGGCGACAGCGCCGUCAUCGCUGAGACCGGCGACUCGUGGUUCAACUGCCAGAAGCUCAAGCUACCCGACGGCUGCGGGUACGAGUUCCAGAUGCAGUACGGGUCCAUCGGGUGGUCGGUGGGGGCGCUGCUCGGGUACGCGCAGGGCGCCAUGGACAAGCGCGUCAUCGCCUGCAUCGGUGACGGGAGCUUCCAGGUGACGGCGCAGGACGUGUCGACGAUGCUGCGGUGCCAGCAGAAGAGCAUCAUCUUCCUCAUCAACAAUGGAGGUUACACCAUUGAGGUGGAGAUCCACGACGGGCCUUACAACGUCAUCAAGAACUGGAACUACACGGGGCUCGUCGACGCCAUCCACAACGGCGAGGGCAACUGCUGGACUGCAAAGGUGAGUUGCGAGGAGGACCUGACGGCGGCGAUAGAGACCGCGACGGGAGAGAAGAAGGACUGCCUCUGCUUCAUCGAGGUGGUGGUGCACAAGGACGACACCAGUAAGGAGCUCCUGGAAUGGGGAUCCAGGGUCAGUGCCGCCAACUCUAGGCCACCGAAUCCGCAGUAG